UUGAUGAAAGAAUCGGUCAAUCCUUUUAGUGUAAUCACUGAUGUCUCCAUGUGUCAGAGCAA
RNAcentral lists this small nucleolar RNA (62 nucleotides) under Castor canadensis (American beaver). RNAcentral describes it as "Small nucleolar RNA SNORD110 (ENSCCNG00000008936.1)". The record is from RNAcentral. Lineage: Eukaryota; Metazoa; Chordata; Mammalia; Rodentia; Castoridae.